This is an RNA transcript of Rosa rugosa (rugosa rose), 1918 nucleotides long. RefSeq lists it as uncharacterized. The transcript is spliced from 5 exons. The record is from RefSeq and is a predicted model, not a curated record. NCBI's taxonomy places the organism in Eukaryota, Viridiplantae, Streptophyta, Magnoliopsida, Rosales, Rosaceae.
AAACCGAACCGAAUCGGACCCGUUCGGGUCGGGUCUUCGGUUUUUCGGGUCCGGACGCCCACCCCUGGCCAAAAUCCAUUCAGCCCCGUUGCCCGACGUAUUGCUCUCUUCGACUCAUCAGUCUCCGUUGCGGACUUGCGGCCGGUGCCUACUGCCUUGCCACUCGGCCCUCGGUGCAGCUUUCAAUCUCUCAAAGUUUCAACUUUCAAGUAAAAUCAUCGAAACAGGUGCCUGAGGCUGCUGUAGGAAGAUUCAAUGAGCUCCAACACGACUGACACCAAGAAGGAGAAGAAGGGUCAUCCUCAAAUUGUUAAAUUGAAUAAAGCUUUGGCAUUGGCUGAAAAAUGGGUUAGUAACAUGAGUAAAUUACCAGCAGAAGAUGAGUCUUUUGAGACACAGAGUCGACCUGCUAGGCUUGGACUAGGUGCUAAAGUUCCCCGUGCAUCCACAUUUGUGCCUUCAGAUGAUCCCCUUGAAAGAAAGCUAUAUUACAAGUUGAAUGCUCAAAAGAGAAAAGCUGCCAAAAUUGCAGAGGAGUUGGCACCAGCUGCUGCAGAUGGUGAUGGUGACGAUGAAGAUAAUGAAGACAGCAGAACCAGUGCGUUCGAGAAGAAAAAGAGAGCAGCUAAUCCACUCACCCCACCUUUAGGGAAAAAGAAAAGGAGAAAGUGAGUAUCUCACCAUGAGACACUAGCUAUGUCAUCUUGUUGAAAGUGAAAAGCUUUGGUCCUGUUCUUGUUGUAGCUGAUAUUCAGUACAUGAGUACAAAAAACAUUUAUUUUGAUAAGUGCUCUCUAUCCACAUUACACUGAGGGAAGCAGAGAUAAACAAGAUAAGUUUAACUAUCUGUGCCUCCCCUAUUGGAAACAUACAGGCUACAUUUCGUACUAGUUAAUUAUAUCACCCUUUAUCUUAGGCAACAUAUCAACUCAGUAUGCAUUGUUGUUUCCAUCAGUUUGAAAUCUUAUUGAUCCCCUACGAGCUUUUGCAAUGUUAAAAUAAAAAUUUGUCAGCCAUCACAGAUUAAUUAUAUGUAAUAGCAUGAACUGGAUAUAUUUAUUUCGAGCAGAAAUGCUGAGCAUGUGAAACAAUAUAGCAGUGGGCCAGAAGUGAAGUCCUAAAAUAAAAGAAAGCUUGAAACAAUCAAAUAUAGUACUAGUAGCACAGAGUAUUACAAGCACCAAGUCAAUACAAUUAAAACUUACAACCUAGACAAGUUAGCACGCAGCAGCCUUCCAGUCAAUCUGAAUAGCUGGGAGAUCUCUGAUUUCUGAAGCGAGUCCUAGGUUAGUAUCAGAAUUUAACUCUGUCCCACAGUUCUCUACCCCAAAGAAUCGCUUAGUUCUUUCAGUCAAAUAACCCCAAUGAAUUUGUUAGCCUUUCCACCUUGCUUUCUUGAAAAUAGCAUUUAGCUGUAUCAAUUUGCAGCCCUGACUCCCGAGUCCCGACAAGCACAAAAACAAUCUAUUGUUUUGACAGUAUAAUGGACCAAAUUAGAUUUGUUGGUGAAGUCAUCUGCUCAUUGCAAAGGAGUGAUCGCCACCUCCUCUUUUCCUACUUCCAGUCUUUUUAUGAGCUUCUUCUUAGCCUAGGGUAAUAAUCUUCUCAGCACUCUGUGACAGCCGGUGUGAAUAAGAAAGGCGAUUGAGACAAAUAUUAUGUUUUGAUUUUGAUGUUUUAGAUGAACUGUUUGCCUAACUGGAUUUUGUAAGUUUACGAGAUCAUUUAGUACUUAUUGCUGCUAACCAUGAUACUAAUGUUAAAUGCUUUCUGGUAAACCUAGCACGUCGUUUAAUUGGGGAUUGACAUUAUUUAACCGCUGAAAUGCUAUUCUGAGUGGUUUCCCAUUAGUUUUGCAAUUGAUAAAUAUUCUGGCAACUUGUUUCACCGACACAAAUCUCCUCACAUUGUAUUCUGG